GACGAACGCUGGCGGCGUGCUUAACACAUGCAAGUCGAACGGUGAAAGCGGAGCUUGCUCCGCUGGAUCAGUGGCGAACGGGUGAGUAACACGUGGGCAACCUGCCCCUCACUUCGGGAUAACUCCGGGAAACCGGGGCUAAUACCGGAUAUGACCUCCUUGGGCAUCCUUGGAGGUGGAAAGUUUUUCGGUGAGGGAUGGGCCCGCGGCCUAUCAGCUUGUUGGUGAGGUAGUGGCUCACCAAGGCGACGACGGGUAGCCGGCCUGAGAGGGCGACCGGCCACACUGGGACUGAGACACGGCCCAGACUCCUACGGGAGGCAGCAGUGGGGAAUAUUGCGCAAUGGGCGAAAGCCUGACGCAGCAACGCCGCGUGCGGGAUGAAGGCCUUCGGGUUGUAAACCGCUUUCAGCAGGGAAGAAGCCGCAAGGUGACGGUACCUGCAGAAGAAGCACCGGCUAACUACGUGCCAGCAGCCGCCGUAA
RNAcentral lists this ribosomal RNA (485 nucleotides) under uncultured bacterium. Its description in RNAcentral is "partial 16S ribosomal RNA". It matches the Rfam family "Bacterial small subunit ribosomal RNA", at positions 28 to 523 of the family's 1533-position model. The record is from RNAcentral.